This 253-nucleotide ribosomal RNA is filed under the name uncultured bacterium. RNAcentral describes it as "partial 16S ribosomal RNA". It matches the Rfam family "Bacterial small subunit ribosomal RNA", at positions 524 to 776 of the family's 1533-position model. The record is from RNAcentral.
UACGGAGGGUCCAAGCGUUAUCCGGAUUCAUUGGGUUUAAAGGGUGCGUAGGCGGAAAAUUAAGUCAGUGGUGAAAGCCCAUAGCUCAACUAUGGAAUUGCCAUUGAUACUGGUUUUCUUGAAUACGGUCGAUGUGGGCGGAAUAUGUCAUGUAGCGGUGAAAUGCUUAGAUAUGACAUAGAACACCAAUUGCGAAGGCAGCUCACAAGCCCGUUAUUGACGCUGAGGCACGAAAGCGUGGGGAGCGAACAGG